Molecule: ribosomal RNA, 203 nt
Filed under: uncultured bacterium
Lineage: Bacteria
Description: partial 16S ribosomal RNA
Rfam family: Bacterial small subunit ribosomal RNA
Source: RNAcentral
CACGUAGGGCGCAAGCGUUGUCCGGAAUUAUUGGGCGUAAAGAGCUCGUAGGUGGUUUGUUACGUCCGCUGUGAAAUCCUAGGGCUUAACCCUGGGCUUGCAGUGGAUACGGGCAGACGUAGAGGUAGGUAGGGGGAGAAUGGAAUUCCUGGAUGUAGCGGUGAAAUGCGCAGAUAUCAGAGGAACACCGGUGGCGAAGGCGG